This 43570-nucleotide long non-coding RNA is filed under the name Triticum aestivum (bread wheat). RNAcentral's name for it is "long non-coding RNA (TAES_LNC019907)". Lineage: Eukaryota; Viridiplantae; Streptophyta; Magnoliopsida; Poales; Poaceae. The record is from RNAcentral.
UGGAAGGCUCUAGGGGAAUAAAGAUGGAAUGACUUCUAAUUUUUAGGUCCGUAUGAUUUGAAAUACUUGCACACAAACCACGCGAAAGCGUUCCUGGAAAUCUCAGCCCAAAAAAGGACGUUUAGUAAUUCUAAAAGGGACUACAGGAUGAAAAACAAUAGUUUUGGCAGUUAAAGUUUGAGAUUCGACAGUGCCGUAGAUCCGUUUGGUCAUCAGGUAUUACGAGCCACACCCAUGUCUAGCUAGAAUAGUGUGCUAGGCUCAGGCUAGAGAAGAAACGGGGAACAAACUGAUGAAAGAAUGAUCAAACCGAGGGAAUUCACUCAGAACUAACAAUAAUGAUAACGUGCUCCGACUGGUGCGGUUUAGGAACUGCUGGAAGGCUCUAGGGGAAUAAAGAUGGAAUGACUUCUAAUUUUUAGGUCCGUAUGAUUUGAAAUACUUGCACACAAACCGCGCGAAAGCGUUCCUGGAAAUCUCAGCCCAAAAAAGGACGUUUAGUAAUUUUAAAAGGGACUAUAGGAUGAAAAACAAUAGUUUUGGCAAUUAAAGUUUGAGAUUCGACGGUGUCGUAGAUCCGUUUGGUCAUCAGGUGUUACGAGCCACACCCAUGUCUAGCUAGAAUAGUAUGUCAGGCUCAGGUUAGAGUAGAAACGGGGAACAAACUGAUGAAAGAAUGAUCAUACCAAGGGAAUUCACUCAGAACUAUCAAGAAUGAUAACGUGCUCCGACUGGAGUGAUUUAGGAACUGCUGGAAGGCUCUAGGGGAAUAAAGAUGGAAUGACUUCUAAUUUUUACGUCCGUAUGAUUUGAAAUACUUGCACACAAAUCACGCAAAAGCGUUCCUGGAAAUCUCAGCCUAAAAAAGGACGUUUAGUAAUUCUAAAAGGGACUACAGGAUGAAAAACAAUAGUUUGGGCAGUUAAAAUUUGAGAUUCGACGGUGCCGUAGAUCCGUUUGGUCAUCAGGUGUUACGAGCGACACCCUUGUCUAGCUAGAAUAGUGUGUUAGGCUCAGACUAGAGAAGAAACGGGGAACAAAGUGAUGAAAGAAUGAUCAUACCGAGGGAAUUCACUCAGAACUAACAAGAAUGAUAACGUGCUCCGACUGGAGCGGUUUAGUAACUGCUGGAAGGCUCUAGGGGAAUGAAGAUGGAAUGACUUCUAAUUUUUAGGUCCGUAUGAUUUGAAAUACAUGCACACAAACCCUGAGAAAGCGUUCCUGGAAAUCUCGGUCGAAAAAAGGAUGUUUAAUAAUUCUAAAAGGGACUACCGGAUGAAAAACAAUAGUUUUGGCAGUUAAAGUUUGUGAUUCGAUGGUGCCGUAGAUCUGUUUGGUCAUCAGGUGUUACGAGCCACACCCAUGUCUAUCUAGAAUAGUGUGUUAGGCUCAGGCUAGAGCAGAAACGGGGAACAGACUUAUGAAAGAAUGAUCAUACCGAGGGAAUUCACUCAGAACUAACAAGAAUGAUAACGUGCUCCGACUGGCGCGGUUUAGGAACUGCUGGAAGGCUCUAGGGGAAUAAAGAUGGAAAGACUUCUAAUUUUUAGGUCCGUAUGAUUUGAAAUACUUGCACACAAACCGCACGAAAGCGUUCCUGGAAAUCUCAGCCUAAAAAGGAUGUUUAGUAAUUCUAAAAGGGACUACAAGAUGAAAAAUAAUAGUUUGGGCAGUUAAAAUUUGAGAUUCGACGAUGCCGUAGAUCCGUUUGGUCAUCAGGUGUUAUGAGCCACACCCAUGUCUAGCUAGAAUAGUGUGUUAGGCUCAGGCUAGAGAAGAAACGGGGAACAAACUGAUGAAAGAAUGAUCAUACCGAGGGAAUUCACUCAGAACUAACAAGAAUGAUAACGUGCUCCGACUGGAGCAGUUUAGAAACUGCUGGAAGGCUCUAAUGGAAUAAAGAUGGAAUGCCUUCAAAUUUCUAGGUCCGUAUGAUUUGAAAUACUUGCACACAAACCGCUCGAAAGCGUUCCUGGAAAUCUCAGCCCAAAAAAGGACGUUUAGUAAUUCUAAAAGGGACUACAGGAUGAAAAACAAUAGUUUUGGCAGUUAAAGUUUGAGAUUCGAUGGUGCCGUAGAUCCGUUUGGUCAUCAGGUGUAACGAGCCACACACAUGUCUAGCUAGAGUAGUGUGCUAGGCUCAGACUAGAGAAGAAACGGGGAACAAAGUGAUGAAAGAAUGAUCAUACCGAGGGAAUUCACUCAGAACUUACAAGAAUGAUAACGUGCUCCGACUGGAGCGCUUUAGUAACUGCUGGAAGGCUCUAGGCGAAUAAAGAUGGAAUGACUUCUAAUUUUUAGGUCCGUAUGAUUUGAAAUACUUGCACACAAACCACGCAAAACCGUUCCUAGAAAUCUCGGUCGAAAAAAGGACGUUUAGUAAUUCUAAAAGGGACUACAGGAUGAAAAACAAUAGUUUUGGCAGUUAAAGUUUGAGAUUCGAUGGUGCCGUAGAUCCGUUUGGUCAUCAGGUGUUACGAGCCACACCCAUGUCUAGCUAGAGUAGUGUGCUAGGUUCAGACUAGAGAAGAAACGGGGAACAAAGUGAUUAAAGAAUGAUCAUACCGAGGGAAUUCACUCAGAACUAACAAGAAUGAUAACGUGCUCCGACUGGAGCGGUUUAGGAACUGCUGGAAGGCUCUAGGGGAAUAAAGAUGGAAUGACUUCUAAUUUUUACGUCCGUAUGAUUUGAAAUACAUGCACACAAACCACGCAAAAGCGUUCCUGGAAAUCUCAGCCUAAAAAAGGACGUUUAGUAAUUCUAAAAGGGACUACAGGAUGAAAAAUAAUAGUUUGGGCAGUUAAAAUUUGAGAUUCGACGCUGCCGUAGAUCCGUUUGGUCAUCAGGUCUUACGAGCCACACCCAUGUCUAGCUAGAAUAGUGUGUUAGGCUCAGGCUAGAGAAGAAACGGGGAACAAACUGAUGAAAGAAUGAUCAUACCGAGGGAAUUCACUCAGAACUAACAAGAAUGAUAACGUGCUCCGACUGGAGCAGUUUAGAAACUCCUGGAAGGCUCUAGGGGAAUAAAGAUGGAAUGACUUCAAAGUUUUAGGUCCGUAUGAUUUGAAAUACUUGCACACAAACCGCGUGAAAGCGUUCCUGGAAAUCUCAACCCAAAAAAGGGCGUUUAGUAAUUCUAAAAGGGACUACAGGAUGUAAAACAAUAGUUUUGGCAGUUAAAGUUUGAGAUUCGAUGGUGCCGUAGAUCCGUUUGGUCAUCAGGUGUAACGAGCCACACCCAUGUCUAGCUAGAGUAGUGUGCUAGGCUCAGACUAGAGAAGAAACGGGGAACAAAGUGAUGAAAGAAUGAUCAUACCGAGGGAAUUCACUCAUAACUAACAAGAAUGAUAACGUGCUCUGACUUGAGCGGUUUAGGAACUGCUGGAAGGCUAUAGGGGAAUAAAGAUGGAAUGACUUCAAAUUUUUAGGUCCGUAUGAUCUGAAAUACUUGCACACAAACCGCGAGAAAGCGUUCCUGGAAAUCUCAACCCAAAAAAGGACGUUUAGUAAUUCUAAAAGGGACUACAGGAUGAAAAACAAUAGUUCUGGCAGUUAUUGUUUGAGAUUCGAUAAUCUCGUAGAUCCGUUUGGUCAUCAGGUGUAACGAGCCACACCCAUGUCUAGCUAGAGUAGUGUGCUAGGCUCAGACUAGAGAAGAAACGGGGAACAAACUGAUGAAAGAAUGAUCAUACCGAGGGAAUUCACUUAGAACUAACAAGAAUGAUAACGUGCUCCGACUGGAGCGGUUUAGGAACUGCUGGAAGGCUCUAGGGGAAUAAAGAAGGAACGACUUCUAAUUUUUAGGUCCGUAUGAUUUGAAAUAUGUGCACACAAACCACGAGAAAGCGUUCCUAGAAAUCUCGGCCCAAAAGAGGACGUUUAGUAUUCUAAAAGGGACUACAGAAUGAAAAACAAUAGUUUUGGCAGUUAAAGUUUGAGAUUUGACGGUGCCGUAGAUCUGUUUGGUCAUCAGGGGUUACGAGCCACACCCAUGUCUAGCUAGAAUAGUGUGUUAGGCUCAGGCUAGAAAAGAAACGGGGAACAAAGUGAUGAAAGAAUGAUCAUACCGAGGGAAUUCACUCAGAACUAACAAGAAUGAUAACAUGCUCCGACUGGAGCGGUUUAGGAACUGCUGGAAGGCUCUAGGGGAAUAAAGAUGGAAUGACUUCUAAUUUUUAGGUCCGUAUGAUUUGAAAUACUUGCACACAAACCGCGCGAAAGCGUUCCUGGAAAUCUCAGCCCAAAAAAGGACGUUUAGUAAUUCUAAAAGGGACUACAGGAUGAAAAACAAUAGUUUUGGCAGUUAAAGUAUGAGAUUCAACGGUGCCGUAGAUCCGUUUGGUCAUUAGGUGUUACGAGCCACACCCAUGUCUAGCUAGAAUAGUGUGCUAGGCUCAGGCUAGAGAAGAAACGGGGAACAAACUGAUGAAAGAAUGAUCAAACCGAGGGAAUUCACUCAGAACUAACAAUAAUGAUAACGUGCUCCGACUGGAGCGGUUUAGGAACUGCUGGAAGUCUCUAGGGGAAUAAAGAUGGAAUGACUUCUAAUUUUUACGUUCGUAUGAUUUGAAAAACUUGCCCAUAAACCGCGCGAAAGUGUUCCUGGAAAUCUCAGCCCAAAAAAGGACGUUUAGUAAUUUUAAAAGGGACUACACGAUGAAAAACAAUAGUUUUGGCAGGUAAAGUUUGAGAUUCGACAGUGCCGUAGAUCCGUUUGGUCAUCAGGUGUUACGAGCCACACCCAUGUCUAGCUAGAAUAGUAUGUUACGCUCAGGUUAGAGAAGAAACGGGGAACAAACUGAUGAAAGAUGAUCAUACCAAGGGAAUUCACUCAGAACUAACAAGAAUGAUAACGUGCUCCGACUGGAGCGGUUUAGGAACUGCUGGAAGGCUCUAGGGGAAUAAAGAUGGAAUGACUUCUAAUUUUUACGUCUGUAUGAUUUGAAAUACUUGCACACAAACAACGCAAAAGCAUUCCUGGAAAUCUCAUCCUAAAAAAGGACGUUUAGUAAUUCUAAAAGGGACUACAGGAUGAAAAAUAAUAGUUUGGGAAGUUAAAAUUUGAGAUUCGAUAGUGCCGUAGAUCCGUUUGGUCAUCAGGUGUUAGGAGCCACACCCAUGUCUAGCUAGAAUAGUGUGUUAGGCUCAGGCUAGAGAAGAAACAGGGAACAAACUGAUGAAAGAAUGAUCAUACCGAGGGAAUUCACUCAGAACUAGCAAGAAUGAUAACGUGCUCCGACUGGAGCAGUUUUGAAACUGCUGGAAGGCUCUAGGGGAAUAAUGAUGGAAUGACUUCUAAGUUUUUGGUCCGUAUGAUUUGAAAUACGUGCACACAAACCCAGAGAAAGUGUUCUUGGAAAUCUCGGCCGAAAAAAGGAUGUUUAAUAAUUCUAAAAGGGACUACAGGAUGAAAAACAAUAGUUUUGGCAGUUAAAGUUUGUGAUUCGAUGGUGCUGUAGAUCUGUUUGGUCAUCAGGUGUUAUGAGCCACACCCAUGUCUAGCUAGAACAGUGUGUUAGGCUCAGGCUAGAGCAGAAACGGGGAACAAACUUAUGAAAGAAUGAUCAUACCGAGGGAAUUCACUCAGAACUAACAAGAAUGAUAACGUGCUCCGACUGGAGAGGUUUAGGAACUGCUGGAAGGCUCUAGGGGAAUAAAGAUGGAAUGACUUCAAAUUUUUAGGUCUGUAUGAUCUGAAAUACUUGCACACAAACCGCGAGAAAGCGUUCCUGGAAAUCUCAGCCCAAAAAAGGACGUUUAGUGAUUCUAAAAGGGACUACGGGAUAAAAAACAAUAGUUUUGGCAGUUAAAGUUUGAGAUUCGAUAAUGCCGUAGAUCCGUUUGGUCAUCAGGUGUAACGAGCCACACCCAUGUCUAGCUAGAGUAGUGUGCUAGGCUCAUACUAGAGAAGAAAUGGGGAACAAACUGAUGAAAGAAUGAUCAUACCGAGGGAGUUCACUCAAAACUAACAUGAAUGAUAACGUGCUCCGACUGGAGCGGUUUAGGAACUGCUGGAAGGCUCUAGGGGAAUAAAGAUGGAAUGACUUCUAAUUUUUAGGUCCGUAUGAUUUGAAAUACAUGCACACAAACCCCAAGAAAGCGUUCCUGGAAAUCUCGCCCCGAAAAACGACGUUUAGUAAUUCUAAAAGGGACUAUAGGAUGAAAAACAAUAGUUUUGGCAGUUAAAGUUUGAGAUUUGACGGUGCCGUAGAUCUGUUUGGUCAUCAGGUGUUACGAGCCACACCCAUUUCUAGCUAGAAUAGUGUGUUAGGCUCAGGCUAGAAAAGAAACGGGGAACAAAGUGAUGAAAGAAUGAUCAUACCGAGGGAAUUCACUCAGAACUAACAAGAAUGAUAACAUGGUCCGACUGGAGCGGUUUAGGAACUGCUGGAAGGCUCUAGGGGAAUAAAGAUGGAAUGACUUCUAACUUUUAGGUCCGUAUGAUUUGAAUUACUUGCACACAAACCGCGCGAAAGCGUUCCUGGAAAUCUCAGCCCAAAAAAGGACGUUUAGUAAUUCUAAAAGGGACUACAGGAUGAAAAACAAUAGUUUUGGCAGUUAAAGUUUGAGAUUCGACGGUGCCGUAGAUCCGUUUGGUCAGCAGGUGUUACGAGCCACACCCAUGUCUAGCUAGAGUAGUGUGCUAGGUUCAGACUAGAGAAGAAAUGUUGGGGAACGUAGCAGAAAUUCAAAAUUUUCCUACGUGUCACCAAGAUCUAUCUAUGGAGAGACUAGCAACGAGGGAAGGAGAGUGCAUCUACAUACCCUUGUAGAUCGCUAAGCGGAAGCGUUCAAGUGAACGGGGUUGAUGGAGUCGUACUCGUCGUGAUUCAGCUCACCGAUGAUCCUAGUGCCGAACGGACGGCACCUCCGCGUUCAACACACGUACAGCUCGACGAUGUCUCCCACGCCUUGAUCCAGCAAGGAGAGAGGGAGAGGUUGAGGAAGACUCCAUCCAGCAGAAGCACAACGGCGUGGUGGUGAUGGAGGAGCAUGGCAAUCCUGCAGGGCUUCGCCAAGCACCUAUGGGAGAGGAGGAGGUGUCACGGGAGGGAGGGAGGCGCCAAGGGCUCAGGUAUAGAUGCCCUCCCUCCCCUCCACUAUAUAUAGGGGCAAGGGAGAGGGGGGAGGCGCAGCCUUGCCCCUUCCUCCAAGGAAGGGGUGCGGCUAAGAGGGGGGGAGGAGUCCAUCCUCCCCAAGGCACCUCGGAGGUGCCUUCCCCCUUUAGGACUCUCCCCUUUUUCCUAUAUCUUGGCGCAUGGGCCUCUAGGGGCUGGUUCCCUUGGCCCAUGUAGGCCCAGGCGCACCCCCUACAGCCCAUGUGGCCCCCCGGGGCAGGUGGCCCCACCUGGUGGGCCCCCGGGACCCUUCCGGUGGUCCCGGUACAAUACCGAUGACCCCGAAACUUGUCCCGAUGGCCGAAACAGGACUUCCUAUAUAUAAAUCUUUACCUCCGGACAAUUCCGGAACUCCUCGUGACGUCCGGGAUCUCAUCCGGGACUCCGAACAACAUUCGGUAACCACAUACAAACUUCCUUUAUAACCCUAGCGUCAUCGAACCUUAAGUGUGUAGACCCUACGGGUUCGGGAGACAUGUAGUCAUGACCGAGAUGUUCUCCGGUCAAUAACCAACAGCGGGAUCUGGAUACCCAUGUUGGCUCCCACAUGUUCCACGAUGAUCUCAUCGGAUGAACCACGAUGUCAAGGACUCAAUCAAUCCCGUAUACAAUUCCCUUUGUCUAGCGGUAUGGUACUUGCCCGAGAUUCGAUCGUCGGUAUACCGAUACCUUGUUCAAUCUCGUUACCGGCAAGUCUCUUUACUCAUUUCGUAACACAUCAUCCCGUGAUCAACCCCUUGGUCACAUUGUGCACAUUAUGAUGAUGUCCUACCGAGUGGGCCCAGAGAUACCUCUCCGUUUACACGGAGUGACAAAAUCCCAAUCUCGAUUCGUGCCAACCCAACAGACACUUUCAGAGAUACCCGUAGUGUACCUUUACAGCCACCCAGUUACGUUGUGACGUUUGGCACACCCAAAGCACUCCUACAGUAUCCGGGAGUUGCACAAUCUCAUGGUCUAAGGAAAUGAUACUUGACAUUAGAAAAGCUUUAGCAUACGAACUACAUGAUCUUGUGCUAGGCUUAGGAUUGGGUCUUGUCCAUCACAUCAUUCUCCUAAUGAUGUGAUCCCGUUAUCAACGACAUCCAAUGUCCAUGGUCAGGAAACCGUAACCAUCUAUUGAUUAACGAGCUAGUCAACUAGAGGCUUACUAGGGACAUGGUGUUGUCUAUGUAUCCACACAUGUAUCUAAGUUUCCUAUCAAUACAAUUCUAGCAUGGAUAAUAAACGAUUAUCAUGAACAAGGAAAUAUAAUAAUAAUCAAUUUAUUAUUGCCUCUAGGGCAUAUUUCCAACAGUCUCCCACUUGCACUAGAGUCAAUAAUCUAGUUCACAUCGAUAUGUGAUUAACACUCAAGGUCACAUUCCCAUGUGACUAACACCCAAGAGUUUACUAGAGUCAAUAAUCUAGUUCACAUUUACCAUGUGAUUAACACUUGAUGAGUUCUGGGUUUGAUCAUGUUAUGCUUGUGAGAGAGGUUAUAGUCAACGGGUCUGAACCUUUCAGAUCCGUGUGUGCUUUACAAAUCUCUAUGUCAUCUCCUAGAUGCAGCUACCACGUUCUAUUUGGAGCUAUUCCAAAUAACUGUUCUACUUGGAGCUAUUCUAAAUUGUUGCUCCAUUAUACGUAUCCGGUAUCUCUACUCAGAGCUAUCCGGAUAGGUGUUAAGCUUGCAUCGACGUAACCCUUUACGACGAACUCUUUUACCACCUCCAUAAUUGAGAAAAUUCCUUAGUCCACUAGUUACUAAGGAUAACUUUGACCGCUGUCCUGUGAUCCAUUCUUGGAUCACUCUUGUACCCCUUGACUGACUCAUGGUAAAGCACACUUCAGGUGCGGUACACAGCAUAGCAUACUGUAGAGCCUAUGUCUUAAGCAUAGGGGACGACCUUCGUUCCUUUCUCUCUAUUCUGCCAUGGUCGAGCUUUAAGUCUUAACUUCAUACCUUACAACUCAGGCAAGAACUCCUUCUUUGACUGAUCCAUCUUGAACACCUUCAAGAUCACGUCAAGGCAUGUGCUCACGUCAAGAUCACGUCGGUAUACCGAUACCUUGUUCAAUCUCGUUACCGGCAAGUCUCUUUACUCGUUCCGUAACACAUCAUCCCGUGAUCAACCCCUUGGUCACAUUGUGCACAUUAUGAUGAUGUCCUACCGAGUGGGCCCAGAGAUACCUCUCCGUUUACACGGAGUGACAAAAUCCCAAUCUCGAUUCGUGCCAACCCAACAGACACUUUCAGAGAUACCCGUAGUGUACCUUUAUAGCCACCCAGUUACGUUGUGACGUUUGGCACACCCAAAGCACUCCUACGGUAUCCGGGAGUUGCACAAUCUCAUGGUCUAAGGAAAUGAUACUUGACAUUAGAAAAGCUUUAGCAUACGAACUACAUGAUCUUGUGCUAGGCUUAGGAUUGGGUCUUGUCCAUCACAUCAUUCUCCUAAUGAUGUGAUCCCGUUAUCAACGACAUCCAAUGUCCAUGGUCAGGAAACCGUAACCAUCUAUUGAUUAACGAGCCAGUCAACUAGAGGCUUACUAGGGACAUGGUGUUGUCUAUGUAUCCACACAUGUAUCUGAGUUUCCUAUCAAUACAAUUCUAGCAUGGAUAAUAAACGAUUAUCAUGAACAAGGAAAUAUAAUAAUAAUCAAUUUAUUAUUGCCUCUAGGGCAUAUUUCCAACAGUCUCCCACUUGCACUAGAGUCAAUAAUCUAGUUCACAUCACCAUGUGAUUAACACUGACAGGUCACAUCACCAUGUGACCAACAUCCAAAGAGUCUUGGGUUUGAUCAUGUUGCUUGUGAGAGAGGUUAUAGUCAACGGGUCUGAACCUUUCAGAUCCGUGUGUGCUUUACAAAUCUCUAUGUCAUCUCCUAGAUGCAGCUACCACGUUCUAUUUGGAGCUAUUCCAAAUAACUGUUCUACUUGGAGCUAUUCUAAAUUGUUGCUCCAUUAUACGUAUCCGGUAUCUCUACUCAGAGCUAUCCGGAUAGGUGUUAAGCUUGCAUCGACGUAACCCUUUACGACGAACUCUUUUACCACCUCCAUAAUUGAGAAAAUUCCUUAGUCCACUAGUUACUAAGGAUAACUUUGACCGCUGUCCUGCGAUCCAUUCUUGGAUCACCCUUGUACCCCUUGACUGACUCAUGGUAAAGCACACUUCAGGUGCGGUACACAGCAUAGCAUACUGUAGAGCCUAUGUCUUAAGCAUAGGGGAUGACCUUCGUUCCUUUCUCUCUAUUCUGCCAUGGUCGAGCUUUAAGUCUUAACUUCAUACCUUACAACUCAGGCAAGAACUCCUUCUUUGACUGGUCCAUCUUGAACACCUUCAAGAUCAUGUCAAGGUAUGUGCUCAUUUGAAAGUACUAUUAAGCGUUUUGAUCUAUCCUUAUAGAUCUUGAUGCUCAAUGUUCAAGUAGCUUAAUCCAGGUUUUCCAUUGAAAACACUUUCCAAAUAACCCUAUAUGCUUUCCAGAAAUUCUACGUCAUUUCUGAUCAUUAAUAUGUCAACAACAUAUAAUCAUCAGAAAUUCUAUAGUGCUCCCACUCACUUCUUUGGAAAUACAAGUUUCUCAUAAACUUUGUAUACACCCAAAAUCUUUGAUCAUCAUCAAAGCAUACAUUCCAACUCCGAGAUGCUCACUCCAGUCCUCAGAAGGAUUGCUGGAGCUUUGCAUACUUAUUAGCAUAUUUCAGGAUAGACAAAACCUUCCAGUUGUAUCACAUACAACCUUUCCUCAAGAAUCGUCGACGAAACAAUGUUUUGACAUCCUAUCUGCAAGAUUUCAUAAAUAAUGCAGUAAUUGUUAAUAUAAUUCCAACAGACUCUUAGCAUCGCUACGAGUGAGAAAGUCUCAUUGUAGUCAACUCCUUGAACUUGUCAAAAAACAUCUUAACGACAAGUCGAGCUUUCUCAAUGGUGACACUUACCAUCAUUGUCUGUCUUCCUUUCAAAAUCCAUAUGUACCUAACAGCCUUACGACCAUCAAGUAGUUCUUCCAAAGUCUACACUUUGUUUUCAUACAUGGAUCCUCUCUCGGGUUUUAUGGCCAUGAGCCAUUUAUCGGAAUCCGGGCCCACCAUUGCUUCUCCAUAGCUCGUAGGUUCAUUGUUGUCUAGCAACAUGACUUCCAAGACAGGAUUACUGUACCACUCUGAAGUAGUACGUAUCCUUGUCACCCUACGAGGUUUGGGAGUGACUUGAUCUGAAGUUUCAUGAUCACUAUCAUAAGCUUCUACUUCAAUUGGUGUAGGUGCCACAGGAACAACUUCCUGUGCCCUGCUACACACUGGUUGAAGUGAUGGUUCAAUAACCUCAUCAAGUCUCCACCAUCCUCCCACUCAAUUCUUUCGAGAGAAACCUUUCCUCGAGAAAGGACCCAAUUCUAGAAACAAUUCAUAUUGCUUUCGGAUCUGAAUUAGGAAGUAUACCCAACUGUUUUGGGUGUCCUAUGAAGAUGUACUUUAUCCGCUUUGGUUUCGAGCUUAAUCCUGAAACUUUUUCACAUAAGUGUCGCAGCCCCAAACCUUUAAGAAACGACAACUUAGGUUUCUCUAAACCAUAAUUCAUACGGUGUCAUCUCAUCGGAAUUACGUGGUGCCCUAUUUAAAGUGAAUGUGGUUGUCUUUAAUGCCUAACCCAUAAACUAUCGUGGCAGUUCGAUAAGAGACAUCAUGGUAUGCAUCAUAUCCAAUAGGGUGCAACUAUGAUGUUCGGACACACCAUCACACUAUGGUGUUCCAGGCGGUAUUAAUUGUGAAACAAUUUCCACAAUGUCUUAAUUGUGUGCCAAAACUCGUAACUCAGAUACUCAUCUCUAUGAUCAUAUCAUAGACAUUUUAUCCUCUUGUCACAAUGAUCUUCUACUUCACUCUGAAAUUACUUGAACCAUUCAACAAUUCAGACUUGUGUUUCAUCAAGUAAAUAUUCUCAACAUCUACUCGAAUCAUCUGUGAAGUAAGAACAUAACGAUAUUCACUGCAUGCCUCAGCACUCAUUGGACUGCACACAUCAAAAUGUGUUACUUCCAACAAGUUGCUAUCUUGUUCCAUCUUACUGAAAACGAGGCUUUUCAGUCAUCUUGCCCAUGUGGUAUGAUUUGCAUGUCCCAAGUGAUUCAAAAAUCAAGUGAGUCAAAACGGUCCAUUUGCAUGGAGUUUCUUCAUGCAUAUACACCAAUAGACAUGGUUCGCAUGUCUCAAACUUUUCAAAAACGAGUGAGCCCAAAGAUCCAUCAAUAUGGAGCUUCUUCAUGCGUUUUAUACCGAUAUGACUUACGUGGUAGUGCCACAAGUAGGUGGUACUAUCAUUACUAUCUUUUGGCAUGAACAUGUGUAUCACUACGAUCGAGAUUUAAUAAACCAUUCAUUUUAGGUGUAAGACCAUUGAAGGUAUUAUUCAAAUAAACAGAGUAACCAUUAUUCUCCUUAAAUGAAUAACCGUAUUGCGAUAGACGUAAUCCAAUCAUGUCUAUGCUCAACGCAAACACCAAAUAACAAUUAUUUAGGUUUAACACCAAUCUCUUUGGUAGAGGGAGCGUGCGAUGCUUGAUCAUAUCAAGCAUGGAAAAACUUACAACACAUAUCGUCAGCUCACCUUUAGCUAGUCUCUGUUUAUUCCGUAGCCUUUUGUUUCGAGUUACUAACACUUAGCAACCGAACUGGUAUCUAAUACCCUGGUGCUACUAGGAGUACUAGCAAAGUACACAUUAACACAAUGUAUAUCCAAUAUACUUCUAUCGACCUUGCCAGCCUUCUUAUCUACCAAGUAUCUAGGGUAAUUCUGCUCUAGUAGUUGUUCCCCUUAUUACAGAAGCACUUAGUCUCGGGUUUGGGUUUUACCUUGGGUUUCUUCACUAGAGCAGCAGCUGAUUUGCCGUUUCAUGAAGUAUCCCUUCUUGCCCUUGCCCUUCUUGAAACUAGUGGUUCCACCAACCAUCAACAAUUGAUGCUCCUUCUUGAUUUCUACUUUCGCGGUGUCAAACAUCGCGAAUACCUCAAGGAUCAUCAUAUCUAUCCCUGAUAUGUUAUAGUUCAUCAUGAAGCUCUAACAGCUUGGUGGCAAUGACUUUGGAGAACCAUCACUAUCUCAUCUGGAAGAUCAACUCCCACUCGAUUCAAGCGAUUGUUGUACUCAGACAAUCUGAGCACAAGCUCAACGAUUGAGCUUUUCUCCCUUAGUUUGCAGGUUAAGAAAGUCAUCGGAGGUCUUAUACCUCUUGACAUGGGCACGAGCCUGAAAUCCCAAUUUCAGCCCUCAAAACAUCUCAUAUGUUUCGCGAUGUUUCAAAAACGUCUUUGGUGCCUCAACUCUAAACCGUUUAACUGAACUAUCACGUAGUUAUCAAAACGUGUAUGUCAGAUGUUCGCAACAACCACAGACAACGUUCGAGGUUCAGCACACUGAGCGGUGCAUUAAGGACAUAAGCCUUCUAUGAAGCAAUGAGGACAAUCCUCAGUUUACGGACCUAGUCCGCAUAAUUGCUACUAUCAACUUUCAACUAAUUUUUCUCUAGGAACAUAUCUAAACAGUAGAACUAUAGCGUGAGCUACGACAUAAUUUGCAAAAACCUUUUGACUAUGUUCAGGAUAAUUAAGUUCAUCUUAUGAACUCCCACUCAGAUAGACAUCCCUCUAGUCAUCUAAGUGAUUACAUGAUCCGAGUCAAACUAGGCCGUGUCCGAUCAUCACGUGAGACGGACUAGUCAUCAUCGGUGAACAUCUUCAUGUUGAUCGUAUCUUCUAUACGACUCAUGUUCGACCUUUCGGUCUUCGUGUUCCGAGGCCAUGUAUGUACAUGCUAGGCUCGUCAAGUUAACCCUAAGUGUUUCGCGUGUGUAAAUCUGUCUUACACCCGUUGUAUGUGAACGUUAGAAUCUAACACCCGAUCAUCACGUGGUGCUUCGAAACACGAACUGUCGCAACGGUGCACAGUUAGGGGAGAACACUUCUUGAAAUUGUUGUAAGGGAUCAUCUUAUUUACUACCGUCGUUCUAAGCAAAUAAGAUGUAUAAACAUGAUAAACAUCACAUGCAAUCAAAUAGUGACAUGAUAUGGCCAUCAUCACUUUGCUCCUUUUGAUCUCCAUCUUCGGGGCUCCAUGAUCAUCAUCGUCACCGGCAUGACACCAUGAUCUCCAUCAUCAUGAUCUCCAUCAUCGUGUCUUCAUGAAGUUGCCUCGCCAACUAUUACUUCUACUACUAUGGCUAACGGUUAGCAAUAAAGUAAAGUAAUUACAUGACGUUUAAGUUGACACGCAGGUCACAAAUGAAUAAAGACAACUCCUAUGGCUCCUGCCGGUUGUCAUACUCAUCGACAUGCAAGUCGUGAUUCCUAUUACAAGAACAUGAUCAAUCUCAUACAUCACAUAUAUCAUUCAUCACAUCCUUUUUGGCCAUAUCACAUCACAUAGCAUACCCUGCAAAAACAAGUUAGACGUCCUCUAAUUGUUGUUUGCAUGUUUUACGUGGCUGCUAUGGGUUUCUAGCAAGAACGUUUCUUACCUACGCAUGAACAACAACGUGAUAUGCCAAUUGCUAUUUACCCUUCAUAAGGACCCUUUUCAUCGAAUCCGAUCCGACUAAAGUGGGAGAGACAGACACCCGCCAGCCACCUUAUGCAACUAGUGCAUGUUUGUCGGUGGAACCGGUCUCACGUAAGCGUACGUGUAAGGUUGGUCCGGGCCGCUUCAUCCCACGAUGCCGCCGAAUCAAGAUAAGACUAGUAACGGCAAGCAUAUUGAACAAUAUCAACGCCCACAACUACUUUGUGUUCUACUCGUGCAAAGAAUCUACGCAAUAGACCUAGCUCAUGAUGCCACUGUUGGGGAACGUAGCAGAAAUUCAAAAUUUUCCUACGUGUCACCAAGAUCUAUCUAUGGAGAUACUAGCAACGAGGGAAGGAGAGUGCAUCUACAUACCCUUGUAGAUCGCUAAGCGGAAGCGUUCAAGUGAACGGGGUUGAUGGAGUCGUACUCGUCGUGAUUCAGAUCACCGAUGAUCCUAGUGCCGAACGGACGGCACCUCCGCGUUCAACACACGUACAGCUCGACGAUGUCUCCCACGCCUUGAUCCAGCAAGGAGAGAGGGAGAGGUUGAGGAAGACUCCAUCCAGCAGCAGCACAACGGCGUGGUGGUGAUGGAGGAGCGUGGCAAUCCUGCAGGGCUUCGCCAAGCACCUACGGGAGAGGAGGAGGUGUCACGGGAGGGAGGGAGGCGCCAAGGGCUCAGGUAUAGAUGCCCUCCCUCCCCUCCACUAUAUAUAGGGGCAAGGGAGAGGGGGAGGCGCAUCCUUGCCCCUUCCUCCAAGGAAGGGGUGCGGCUAAGAGGGGGGGAGGAGUCCAUCCUCCCCAAGGCACCUCGGAGGUGCCUUCCCCCUUUAGGACUCUCCCCUUUUUCCUAUAUCUUGGCGCAUGGGCCUCUAGGGGCUGGUGCCCUUGGCCCAUGUAGGCCAAGGCGCACCCCCCUACAGCCCAUGUGGCCCCCCGGGGCAGGUGGCCCCACCCGGUGGGCCCCCGGGACCCUUCCGGUGGUCCCGGUACAAUACCGAUGACCCCGAAACUUGUCCCGAUGGCCGAAACAGGACUUCCUAUAUAUAAAUCUUUACCUCCGGACCAUUCCGGAACUCCUCGUGACGUCCGGGAUCUCAUCCGGGACUCCGAACAACAUUCGGUAACCACAUACAAACUUCCUUUAUAACCCUAGCGUCAUCGAACCUUAAGUGUGUAGACCCUACGGGUUCGGGAGACAUGUAGUCAUGACCGAGAUGUUCUCCGGUCAAUAACCAACAGCGGGAUCUGGAUACCCAUGUUGGCUCGCACAUGUUCCACGAUGAUCUCAUCGGAUGAACCACGAUGUCAAGGACUCAAUCAAUCCCGUAUACAAUUCCCUUUGUCUAGCGGUAUGGUACUUGCCCGAGAUUCGAUCGUCGGUAUACCGAUACCUUGUUCAAUCUCGUUACCGGCAAGCCUCUUUACUCGUUCCGUAACACAUCAUCCCGUGAUCAACCCCUUGGUCACAUUGUGCACAUUAUGAUGAUGUCCUACCGAGUGGGCCCAGAGAUACCUCUCCGUUUACACGGAGUGACAAAAUCCCAAUCUCGAUUCGUGCCAACCCAACAGACACUUUCAGAGAUACCCGUAGUGUACCUUUAUAGCCACCCAGUUACGUUGUGACGUUUGGCACACCCAAAGCACUCCUACGGUAUCCGGGAGUUGCACAAUCUCAUGGUCUAAGGAAAUGAUACUUGACAUUAGAAAAGCUUUAGCAUACGAACUACAUGAUCUUGUGCUAGGCUUAGNNNNNNNNNNUGAUCAACCCCUUGGUCACAUUGUGCACAUUAUGAUGAUGUCCUACCGAGUGGGCCCAGAGAUACCUCUCCGUUUACACGGAGUGACAAAAUCCCAAUCUCGAUUCGUGCCAACCCAACAGACAUUUUCAGAGAUACCCGUAGUGUACCUUUAUAGCCACCCAGUUACGUUGUGACGUUUGGCACACCCAAAGCACUCCUACGGUAUCCGGGAGUUGCACAAUCUCAUGGUCUAAGGAAAUGAUACUUGACAUUAGAAAAGCUUUAGCAUACGAACUACAUGAUCUUGUGCUAGGCUUAGGAUUGGGUCUUGUCCAUCACAUCAUUCUCCUAAUGAUGUGAUCCCGUUAUCAACGACAUCCAAUGUCCAUGGUCAGGAAACCGUAACCAUCUAUUGAUUAACGAGCUAGUCAACUAGAGGCUUACUAGGGACAUGGUGUUGUCUAUGUAUCCACACAUGUAUCUGAGUUUCCUAUCAAUACAAUUCUAGCAUGGAUAAUAAACGAUUAUCAUGAACAAGGAAAUAUAAUAAUAAUCAAUUUAUUAUUGCCUCUAGGGCAUAUUUCCAACAAGAAACGGGGAACAAACUGAUGAAAGAAUGAUCAUACCGAGGGAAUUCACUCAGAACUAACAAGAAUGAUAACGUGCUUUGACUGGAGCGGUUUAAAAACUGCUGGAAGGCUCUAGGGGAAUAAAGAUGGAAUGCCUUCAAAUUUCUAGGUCCGUAUGAUUUGAAAUACUUGCACACAAACCGCGCGAAAGCGUUCCUGGAAAUCUCAGCCCAAAAAAGGACGUUUAGUAAUUCUAAAAGGGACUACAGAAUGAAAAACAAUAGUUUUGGCAGUUAAAGUUUGAGAUUCGAUGGUGCCGUAGAUCCGUUUGGUCAUCAGGUGUAACGAGCCACACCCAUGUCUAGCUAGAGUAGUGUGCUAGGCUCAGGCUAGAGAAGAAACGGGGAACAAACUGAUGAAAGAAUGAUCAUACCGAGGGAAUUCACUCAGAACUAACAAGAAUGAUAACGUGCUCCGACUGGAGCGGUUUAGGAACUGCUGGAAGGCUCUAGGGGAAGAAAGAAGGAAUGACUUCUAAUUUUUAGGUCCGUAUGAUUUGAAAUACGUGCACACAAACCGCGCGAAAGCGUUCCUGGAAAUCUCAGCCCAAAAAAGGACGUUUAGUAUUCUAAAAGGGACUACAGAAUGAAAAACAAUAGUUUUGGCAGUUAAAGUUUGAGAUUCGACGGUGCCGUAGAUCCGUUUGGUCAUCAGGUGUUACGAGCCACACCCAUGUCUAGCUAGAAUAGUGUGCNNNNNNNNNNNNNNNNNNNNNNNNNCGUAUGAUUUGAAAUACGUGCACACAAACCGCGCGAAAGCGUUCCUGGAAAUCUCAGCCCAAAAAAGGACGUUUAGUAUUCUAAAAGGGACUACAGAAUGAAAAACAAUAGUUUUGGCAGUUAAAGUUUGAGAUUCGACGGUGCUGUAGAUCCGUUUGGUCAUCAGGUGUUACGAGCCACACCCAUGUCUAGCUAGAAUAGUGUGCUAGGCUCAGGCUAGAGAAGAAAAGGGGAACAAACUAAUGAAAGAAUGAUCAAUACGAGGGAAUUCACUCAGAACUAACAAUAAUGAUAACGUGCUCCGACUGGAGCGGUUUAGGAACUGCUGGAAGGCUCUAGGCGAAUAAAGAUGGAAUGACUUCUAAUUUUUACGUCCGUAUGAUUUGAAAUACUUGCACACAAACCACGCAAAAGCGUUCCUGGAAAUCUCGGCCUAAAAAGGACGUUUAGUAAUUCUAAAAGGGACUACAGGAUGAAAAAUAAUAGUUUGGGCAGUUAAAAUUUGAGAUUCGACGGUGCCGUAGAUCCGUUUGGUCAUCAGGUGUUACGAGCCACACCCAUGUCUAGCUAGAAUAGUGUGUUAGGCUCAGGCUAGAGAAGAAACGAGGAACAAACUGAUGAAAGAAUGAUCAUACCAAGGGAAUUCACUCAGAACUAACAAGAAUGAUAACGUGCUCCGACUGGAGCAGUUUAGAAACUGCUGGAAGGCUCUAGGGGAAUAAAGAUGGAAUGACUUCUGAUUUUUAGGUCCGUAUGAUUUGAAAUACGUGCACACAAACCCCGCGAAAGCGUUCCUGGAAAUCUCAGCCCAAAAAAGGACGUUUAGUAAUUCUAAAAGGGACUACAACAUGAAAAACAAUAGUUUUGGCAGUUAAAGUUUGAGAUUUCAUGGUGCCGUAGAUCUGUUUGGUCAUCAGGUGUUACGAGCCACACCCAUGUCUAGCUAGAAUAGUGUGUUAGGCUCAGGCUAGAAAAGAAACGGGAAACAAAGUGAUGAAAGAAUGACCAUACCGAGGGAAUUCACUCAGAACUAACAAGAAUGAUAACAUGCUCCGACUUGAGCGGUUUAGGAACUGCUGGAAGGCUCUAGGGGAAUAAAGAUGGAAUGACUUCUAAUGUUUAGGUCCGUAUGAUUUGAAAUACUUGCACAUAAACCGCACAAAAGCGUUCCUGGAAAUCUCAGCCCAAAAAAGGACGUUUAGUAAUUCUAAAAGGGACUACAGGAUGAAAAACAAUAGUUUUGGCAGUUAAAGUUUGAGAUUCGACGGUGCCGUAGAUCCGUUUGGUCAUCAGGUGUUACGAGCCACACCCAUGUCUAGCUAGAAUAGUGUGUUAGGCUCAGGCUAGAGAAGAAACUUGGAACAAACUGAUGAAAGAAUGAUCAAACCAACGGAAUUCACUCAGAACUAACAAUAAUGAUAACGUGCUCCGACUGGAGCAGUUUAGGAACUGCUGGAAGGCUCUAGGGGAAUAAAGAUGGAAUGACUUCUAAUUUUUAGGUCCGUAUGAUUUGAAAUACUUGCACGCAAACCGCGCGAAAGCGUUCCUGGAAAUAUCAGCCCAAAAAAGGACGUUUAGUAAUUCUAAAAGGGACUACAGGAUGAAAACAAUAGUUUUGGCAGUUAAAGUUUGAGAUUCAACAGUGCCGUAGAUCCGUUUGGUCAUCAGGUGUUAUGAGCCAUACCCAUGUCUAGCUAGAGUAGUGUGCUAGGCUCAGGCUAGAGAAGAAACAGGGAACAAACUGAUGAAAGAAUGAUCAUACCGAGGGAAUUCACUCAGAACUAACAAGAAUGAUAACGUGCUCCGACUGGAGCGGUUUAGGAACUGCUGGAAGGCUCUAGGGGAAUAAAGAUGGAGUGACUUCUAAAUUUUUAGGUCCGUAUGAUUUAAAAUACUUGCACACAAACCGCACGAAAGCGUUCCUUGAAAUCUCAGCCCAAAAAAGGACGUUUAGUAAGUCUAAAAGGGACUAUAGGAUGAAAAACAAUAGUUUUGGCAGUUAAAGUUUGAGAUUCGAUGGUGCCGUAGAUCUGUUUGGUCAUCAGGUGUUACGAGCCACACCCAUGUCUAGUUGGAAUAGUGUGCUAGGCUCAGACUAGAGAAGAAACAGGGAACAAACUGAUGAAAGAAUGAUCAAACCGAGGAAAUUCACUCAGAACUAACAAUAAUGAUAACAUGCUCCGACUGGAGCGGUUUAGGAACUGCUGGAAGGCUCUAGGGGAAUAAAGAUGGAAUGACUUCUAAAUUUUUAGGUCCGUAUGAUUUGAAAUAGUUGCACACAAACUGCGCGAAAGCGUUCCUGGAAAUCUCAGCCCAAAAAAGGACGUUUAGUAAUUCUAAAAGGGACUAUAGGAUGAAAAACAAUAGUUUUGGCAGUUAAAGUUUGAGAUUCGACGGUGCCGUAGAUCCGUUUGGUCAUCACGUGUUACAAGCCACACCCAUGUCUAGCUAGAGUAGUGUGCUAGGCUCAGACUAUAGAAGAAACGGGGACCAAACUGAUGAAAGAAUGAUCAAACCGAGGAAAUUCACUCAGAACUAACAAUAAUGAUAACAUGCUCCGACUGGAGCGGUUUAGGAACUACUGGAAGGCUCUAGGGGAAUAAAGAUGGAAUGACUUCUAAAUUUUUAGGUCCGUAUGAUUUUAAAUAGUUGCACACAAACUGCGCGAAAGCGUUCCUGGAAAUCUCAGCCCAAAAAAGGACGUUUAGUAAUUCUAAAAGGGACUACAGGAUGAAAAACAAUAGUUUGGGCAGUUAAAAUUUGAGAUUCGACGGUGCCGUAGAUCCGUUUGGUCAUCAGGUGUUACGAGCCACACCCAUGUCUAGCUAGAGUAGUGUGCUAGGCUCAGGCUAGAGAAGAAACAGGGAACAAACUGAUGAAAGAAUGAUCAUACCGAGGGAAUUCACUCAGAACUAACAAGAAUGAUAACGUGCUCUGACUGGAGCGGUUUAAGAACUGUUGGAAGGCUCUAGGGGAAUAAAGAUGGAAUCACUUCAAAUUUUUACGUCCGUGUGAUUUGAAAUACUUGCACACAAACCGCACGAAAGCGUUCCUGGAAAUCUCAGCCCAAAAAAGGACGUUUAGUAAGUCUAAAAGGGACUACACGAUGAAAAACAAUAGUUUUGGCAGUUAAAGUUUGAGAUUCGACAGUGCCGUAGAUCCGUUUGGUCAUCAGGUGUAACGAGCCACACCCAUGUCUAGAUAGAGUAGUGUGCUAGGCUCAAACUAGAGAAGAAACGGGGAACAAACUGAUGAAAGAAUGAUCAUACCGAGGGAAUUCACUCAGAAAUAACAAGAAUGAUAACGUGCUCUGACUGGAGCGGUUUAGGAACUGCUGGAAGGCUCUAGGGGAAUAAAGAAGGAAUGACUUCUAAUUUUUAGGUCCGUAUGAUUUGAAAUACGUGCACACAAACCCCGAGAAAGCGUUCCUGGAAAUCUCGACCCAAAAAAGGACGUUUAGUAAUUCUAAAAGGGACUACGGGAUGAAAAACAAUAGUUUUGGCAGUUAAAGUUUGAGAUUCGAUAAUGCCGUAGAUCCAUUUGGUCAUCAGGUGUAACGAGCCACACCCAUGUCUAGCUAGAGUAGUGUGCUAGGCUCAGACUAGAGAAGAAACAGGGAACAAACUGAUGAAAGAAUGAUCAUAUCGAGGGAAUUCACUCAGAACUAACAAGAAUGAUAACAUGCUCCGACUUGAGCGGUUUAGGAACUGCUGGAAGGCUCUAGGGGAAUAAAGAUGGAAUGACUUCUAAUUUUUAGGUCCGUAUGAUUUGAAAUACUUACACACAAACCACGCGAAAGCGUUCCUGGAAAUCUCAGCCCAAAAAAGGACGUUUAGUAAUUCUAAAAGGGACUACAUGAUGAAAAACAAUAGUUUUCGCAGUUAAAGUUUGAGAUUCGACGGUGCCGUAGAUCCGUUUGGUCAUCAAGUGUUACGAGCCACACCCAUGUCUAGCUAGAAUAGUGUGUUAGGCUCAGCCUAGAGAAGAAACGGGGAACAAACUGAUGAAAGAAUGAUCAUACCGAGGGAAUUCACUCAGAACUUACAAGAAUGAUAACGUGCUCCGACUUGAGCGGUUUAAGAACUGUUGGAAGGCUCUAGGGGAAUAAAGAUGGAAUCACUUCAAAUUUUUACGUCCGUGUGAUUUGAAAUACUUGCACACAAACCCCGAGAAAGCGUUCCUGGAAAUCUCGGCCGAAAAAAGGAUGUUUAAUAAUUCUAAAAGGGACUACAGGAUGAAAAACAAUAGCUUUGGCAGUUAAAGUUUGUGAUUCGAUGGUGCCGUAGAUCUGUUUGGUCAUCAGGUGUUAUGAGCCACACCCAUGUCUAGCUAGAAUAGUGUGUUAGGCUCAGGCUAGAGCAGAAACUAGGAACAAACUUAUGAAAGAAUGAUCAUACCGAGGGAAUUCACUCAGAACUAACAAGAAUGAUAACGUGCUCCGACUGGAGCGGUUUAGGAACUGCUGGAAGGCUCUAGGGGAAUAAAGAUGGAAUGACUUCUAAUUUUUAGGUCCGUAUGAUUUGAAAUACAUGCACACAAACCCCAAGAAAGCGUUCCUAGAAAUCUCAGCCCAAAAAGGACGUUUAGUAAUUCUAAAAGGGACUACAGGAUGAAAAACAAUAGGUUUGGCAGUUAAAGUUUGAGAUUCGAUAAUGCCGUAGAUCCGUUUGGUCAUCAGGUGUAACGAGCCACACCCAUGUCUAGCUACAUUAGUGUGCUAGGCUCAGACUAGAGAAGAAACGGGGAACAAACUGAUGAAAGAAUGAUCAUACCGAGGGAAUUCACUCAGAACUAACAAGAACGAUAACAUGCUCCGACUGCAGCGGUUUAGGAACUGCUGGAAGGCUCUAGGGGAAUAAAGAAGGAAUGACUUCUAAUUUUUAGGUCCGUAUGAUUUGAAAUACUUGCACACAAACCGCGCGAAAGCAUUCCUGGAAAUCUCAGCCCAAAAAAGGACGUUUAGUAAUUCUAAAAGGGACUACAGGAUGAAAAACAAUAAUUUUGGCAGUUAAAGUUUGAGAUUCGACGGUGCCGUAGAUCCGUUUGGUCAUCAGGUGUUACGGGCCAUACCCAUGUCUAGCUAGAAUAGUGUGUUAGGCUCAGGUUAGAGAAGAAACGGGGAACAAAGUGAUGAAAGAAUGAUCAUACCGAGGGAAUUCACUCAGAACUAACAAGAAUGAUAACGUGCUCCGACUGGAGCGGUUUAGGAAUUGCUGGAAGGCUCUAGGGGAAUAAAGAUGGAAUGACUUCUAUAUUUUACGUCCGUAUGAUUUGAAAUACUUGCACACAAACCACGCAAAAGCACUCCUGGAAAUAUCAGCCUAAAAAGGAUGUUUAGUAAUUCUAAAAGGGACUACAGGAUGAAAAAUAAUAGUUUUGGCAGUUAAAAUUUGAGAUUCAACGGUGCCGUAAAUCCGUUUGGUCAUCAGGUGUUACGAGCCACACCCAUGUCUAGCUAGAAUAGUGUGUUAGGCUCAGGUUAGAGAAGAAACGGGGAACAAACUGAUGAAAGAAUGAUCAUACAAGGGGAAUUCACUCAGAACUAUCAAGAAUGAUAACGUGCUCCGACUGGAGCAGUUUAGGAACUGCCGGAAGGCUCUAGGGGAAUAAAGAUGGAAUGACUUCUAAUUUUUAUGUCCGUAUGAUUUGAAAUACUUGCACACAAACCACGCAAAAGCGUUCCUGGAAAUCUCAGCCUAAAAAGGACGUUUAGUAAUUCUAAAAGGGACUACAGGAUGAAAAACAAUAGUUUGGGCAGUUAAAAUUCGAGAUUCGACGGUGCCGUAGAUCCGUUUGGUCAUCAGGUGUUACGAGCCACACCCAUGUCUAGCUAGAAUAGUGUGUUAGGCUCAGGCUAGAGAAGAAACGGGGAACAAACUGAUGAAAGAAUGAUCAUAUCGAGGGAAUUCACUCAGAACUAACAAGAAUGAUAACGUGCUCCGACUGGAGCGGUUUAGUAACUGCUGGAAGGCUCUAGGGGAAUAAAGAUGGAAUGACUUCUAAUUAUUAGGUCCGUAAGAUUUGAAUUACAUGCACACAAACCCCGAGAAAGCGUUCCUGGAAAUCUCGGUCGAAAAAAGGAUGUUUAGUAAUUCUAAAAGGGACUACAGGAUGAAAAACAAUAGUUUUGGCAGUUAAAGUUUGUGAUUCGAUGGUGCCGUAGAUCUGUUUGGUCAUCAGGUGUUACGAGCCACACCCAUGUCUAGCUAGAAUAGUGUGUUAGGCUCAGGCUAGAGCAGAAACGGGGAACAAACUUAUGAAAGAAUGAUCAUGCCGAGGGAAUUCACUCAGAACUAACAAGAAUGAUAACGUGCUCCGACUGGAGCGGUUUAGGAACUGCUGGAAGGCUCUAGGGGAAUAAAGAUGGAAUGACAUCAAAUUUUUAGGUCCGUAUGAUUUGAAAUACUUGCACACAAACCGCAAGAAAGCGUUCUUGGAAAUCUCCGCCCAAAAAAGGACGUUUAGUAAUUCUAAAAGGGUCUACAGGAUGAAAAACAAUAGUUCUGGCAGUUAAAGUUUGAGAUUCGAUAAUGUCGUAGAUCCGUUUGGUCAUCAGGCGUAACGAGCCACACCCAUUUCUAGCUAGAGUAGUGUGCUAGGCUCAGACUAGAGAAGAAACGGGGAACAACCUGAUGAAAGAAUGAUCAUACCGAGGGAAUUCACUCAGAACUAACAAGAAUGAUAACGUGCUCCGACUGGAGCGGUUUAGGAACUGCUGGAAGGCUCUACGGGAAUAAAGAAGGAAUGACUUCUAAUUUUUAGGUCCGUAUGAUUUGAAAUACGUGCACACAAACCCCGAGAAAGCGUUCCUGGAAAUCUCGGCCCAAAAAAGGACGUUUAGUAUUCUAAAAGCGACUACAGAAUGAAAAACAAUAGUUUUGGUAGUUAAAGUUUGAGAUUUAACGGUGCCGUAGAUCUGUUUGGUCAUCAGGUGUUACGAGCCACACCCAUGUCUAGCUAGAAUAGUGUGUUAGGCUCAGGCUAGAUAAGAAACAGGGAACAAAGUGAUGAAAGAAUGAUCAUACCAAGGGAAUUCACUCAGAACUAACAAGAACGAUAACAUGCUCCGACUGGAGUGGUUUAGGAACUGCUGGAAGGCUCUAGGGGAAUAAAGAUGGAAUGACUUCUAAUUUUUAGGUCUGUAUGAUUUGAAAUACUUGCACACAAACCGCACGAAAGCGUUCCUGGAAAUCUCAUCCCAAAAAAGGACGUUUAGUAAUUCUAAAAGGGACUACAGGAUGAAAAACAAUAGUUUUGGCAGUUAAAGUUUGAGAUUCGAUAAUGCUGUAGAUCCGUUUGGUCAUCAGGUGUAACGAGCCACACCCAUGUCUAGCUAGAGUAGUGUGCUAGGCUCAGACUAGAGAAGAAACGGGGAACAAACUGAUGAAAGAAUGAUCAUACCGAGGGAAUUCACUCAGAACUAACAAUAAUGAUAACGUGCUCCGACUGGAGCGGUUUAGGAACUGCUGGAAGGCUCUAGGGGAAUAAAGAUGGAAUGAGUUCUAAUUUUUAGGUCUGUAUGAUUUGAAAUACUUGCACACAAACCGCGUGAAAGCAUUCCUGGAAAUUUCAGCCCAAAAAAGGACGUUUAGUAAUUUUAAAAGGGACUACACGAUGAAAAACAAUAGUUUUGGCAGUUAAAGUUUGAGAUUCGACGGUGCCGUAGAUCCGUUUGGUCAUCAGGUGUUACGAGCCACACCCAUGUCUAGCUAGAAUAGUAUGUUAGGCUCGGGUAAGAGAAGAAACGGGGAACAAACUGAUGAAAGAAUGAUCAUACCAAGGGAAUUCACUCAGAACUAACAAGAAUGAUAACGUGCUCCGACUGGAGCGGUUUAGGAACUGCUGGAAGGCUCUAGGGGAAUAAAGAUGGAAUGACUUCUAAUUUUUACGUUCGUAUGAUUUGAAAUACUUGCACACAAACCACGCAAAAGCGUUCCUGGAAAUCUCAUCCUAAAAAAGGACGUUUAGUAAUUCUAAAAGGGACUACAGGAUGAAAAAUAAUAGUUUGGGCAGUUAAAAUUUGAGAUUCGACGGUGCCGUAGAUCCGUUUGGUCAUCAGGUGUUACGAGCCACACCCAUGUCUAGCUAGAAUAGUGUGUUAGGCUCAGGCUAGAGAAGAAACGGGGAACAAACUGAUGAAAGAAUGAUCAUAUCGAGGGAAUUCACUCAGAACUAACAAGAAUGAUAACGUGCUCCGACUGGAGCAGUUUAGAAACUGCUGGAAGGCUCUAGGGGAAUAAAGAUGGAAUGACUUCUAAUUUUUAGGUCUGUAUGAUUUGAAAUACGUGCACACGAACCCCGAGAAAGCGUUCCUGGAAAUCUCGGCCCAAAAAAGGACGUUUAGUAAUUCUAAAAGGGACUACAGGAUGAAAAACAAUAGUUUUGGCAGUUAAAGUUUGAGAUUCGACGGUGCCGUAGAUCCGUUUGUUCAUCAGGUGUUACGAGCCACACCCAUGUCUAGCUAGAAUAGUGUGUUAGGCUCAGGCUAGAGAAGAAACGGGGAACAAACUGAUGAAAGAAUGAUCAUACCGAGGGAAUUCACUCAGAACUAACAAGAAUGAUAACGUGCUCCGACUGGAGCGGUUUAGGAACUGCUAGAAGGCUCUAGGGGAAUAAAGAAGGAAUGACUUCUAAUUUUUAGGUCCGUAUGAUUUGAAAUACGUGCACACAAACCCCGAGAAAGCGUUCCUGGAAAUCUUGGCCCAAAAAAGGACGUUUAGUAUUCUAAAAGCGACUACAGAAUGAAAAACAAUAGUUUUGCUAGUUAAAGUUUGAGAUUUGAUGGUGCCGUAGAUCUGUUUGGUCAUCAGGUUUUACGAGCCACACCCAUGUCUAGCUAGAAUAGUGUGUUAGGCUCAGGCUAGAAAAGAAACAGGGAAUAAAGUGAUGAAAGAAUGAUCAUACCAAGGGAAUUCACUCAGAACUAACAAGAACGAUAACAUGCUCCGACUGGAGUGGUUUAGAACUGCUGGAAGGCUAAAGGGGAAUAAAGAUGGAAUGACUUCUAAUUUUUAGGUCCGUAUGAUUUGAAAUACUUGCACACAAACCGCACGAAAGUGUUCCUGGAAAUCUCAGCCCAAAAAAGGACGUUUAGUAAUUCUAAAAGGGACUACAGGAUGAAAAACAAUAGUUUUGGCAGUUAAAGUUUGAGAUUCGAUAAUGACGUAGAUCCGUUUGGUCAUCAGGUGUAACGAGCCACACCCAUGUCUAGCUAGAGUAGUGUGCUAGGCUCAGACUAGAGAAGAAACGGGGAACAAACUGAUGAAAGAAUGAUCAUACCGAGGGAAUUCACUCAGAACUAACAAUAAUGAUAACGUGCUCCGACUAGAGCGGUUUAGGAACUGCUGGAAGGCUCUAGGGGAAUAAAGAUGGAAUGACUUCUAAUUUUUAGGUCCCUAUGAUUUGAAAUACUUGCACACAAACCGCGUGAAAGCAUUCCUGGAAAUUUCAGCCCAAAAAAGGACGUUUAGUAAUUUUAAAAGGGACUACACGAUGAAAAAGAAUAGUUUUGGCAGUUAAAGUUUGAGAUUCGACGGUGCCGUAGAUCCGUUUGGUCAUCAGGUGUUACGAGACACACCCAUGUCUAGCUAGAAUAGUAUGUUAGGCUCGGGUUAGAGAAGAAACGGGGAACAAACUGAUGAAAGAAUGAUCAUACCAAGGGAAUUCACUCAGAACUAACAAGAAUGAUAACGUGCUCCGACUGGAGCGGUUUAGGAACUGCUGGAAGGCUCUAGGGGAAUAAAGAUGGAAUGACUUCUAAUUUUUACGUUCGUAUGAUUUGAAAUACUUGCAAACAAACCACGCAAAAGCGUUCCUGGAAAUUUCAUCCUAAAAAAGGACGUUUAGUAAUUCUAAAAGGGACUACAGGAUGAAAAAUAAUAGUUUGGGCAGUUAAAAUUUGAGAUUCGAUGGUGCCGUAGAUCCGUUUGGUCAUCAGGUGUUACGAGCCACACCCAUGUCUAGCUAGAAUAGUGUGUUAGGCUCAGGCUAGAGAAGAAACGGGGAACAAACUGAUGAAAGAAUGAUCAUAUCGAGGGAAUUCACUCAGAACUAACAAGAAUGAUAACGUGCUCCGACUGGAGCAGUUUAGAAACUGCUGGAAGGCUCUAGGGGAAUAAAGAUGGAAUGACUUCUAAUUUUUAGGUCUGUAUGAUUUGAAAUACGUGCACACAAACCCCGAGAAAGCGUUCCUGGAAAUCUCGUCCGGAAAAAGGAUGUUUAAUAAUUCUAAAAGGGACUACAGGAUGAAAAACAAUAGUUUUGGCAGUUAAAGUUUGUGAUUCGAUGGUGCCGUAGAUCUGUUUGGUCAUCAGGUGUUACGGGCCACACCCAUGUCUAGCUAGAAUAGUGUGUUAGGCUCAGGCUAGAGCAGAAACGGGGAGCAAACUUAUGAAAGAAUGAUCAUAGCGAGGGAAUUUACUCAGAACUAACAAGAAUGAUAACGUGCUCCGACUGGAGCGGUUUAGGAACUGCUGGAAGGCUCUAGGGGAAUAAAGAUGGAAUGACUUCAAAUUUUCAGGUAUGUAUGAUCUGAAAUACUUGCACACAAACCGCGAGAAAGCGUUCCUGGAAAUCUCAACCCAAAAAAGGAUGUUUAGUAAUUCUAAAAGGGACUACAGGAUUAAAAACAAUAGUUUUGGCAGUUAAAGUUUGAGAUUCGAUAAUGUCGUAGAUCCGUUUGGUCAUCAGGUGUAACGAGCCACACCCAUGUCUAGCUAGAGUAGUGUGCUAGGCUCAUACUAGAGAAGAAACGGGGAACAAACUGAUGAAAGAAUGAUCAUACCGAGGGAAUUCACUCAGAACUAACAAGAAUGAUAACGUGCUCCGACUGGAGCGGUUUAGGAACUGCUGGAAGGCUCUAGGGGAAUAAAGAUGGAAUGACUUCUUAUUUUUAGGUCCGUAUGAUUUGAAAUACAUGCACACAAACCCCAAGAAAGCGUUCCGGGAAAUCUCGGCCCAAAGAAUGAUGUUUAGUAAUUCUAAAAGGGACUAUAGAAUGAAAAACAAUAGUUUUGGCAGUUAAAGUUUGAGAUUUGACGGUGUCGUAGAUCUGUUUGGUCAUCAGGUGUUACGAGCCACACCCAUUUCUAGCUAGAAUAGUGUGUUAGGCUCAGGCUAGAAAAGAAACGGGGAACAAAGUGAUGAAAGAAUGAUCAUACCGAGGGAAUUCACUCAGAACUAACAAGAAUGAUAACAUGCUCCGACUAGAGCGGUUUAGGAACUGCUGGAAGGCUCUAGGGGAAUAAAUAUGGAAUGACUUCUAAUUUUCAGGUCCGUAUGAUUUGAAAUACUUGCACACAAACCGCGCGAAAGCGUUCCUGGAAAUCUCAUCCCAAAGAAGGUCGUUUAGUAAUUCUAAAAGGGACUACAGGAUGAAAAACAAUAGUUUUGGCAAUUUAAGGUUUGAGAUUCGACGGUGCCGUAGAUCCGUUUGGUCAUCAGGUGUUACGAGCCACACCCAUGUCUAGCUAGAAUAGUGUGCUAGGCUCAGGCUAGAGAAGAAACAGGGAACAAACUGAUGAAAGAAUGAUCAAACCGAGGGAAUUCACUCAGAACUAACAAUAAUGAUAACGUUCUCCGUCUGGAGCGGUUUAGGAACUGCUGGAAGGCUCUAGGGGAAUAAAGAUGGAAUGACUUCUAAUUUUUAGGUCCGUAUGAUUUGAAAUACUUGCACACAAACCGCGCCAAAUCGUUCCUGGAAAUCUCAGCCCAAAAAAGGACGUUUAGUAAUUCUAAAAGGGACUACAGGAUGAAAAACAAUAGUUUUGGCAGUUAAAGUUUGAGAUUCGAUGGUGCCGUAGACCCGUUUGGUCAUCAGGUGUUACGAGCCACACCCAUGUCUAGCUAGAGUAGUGUGCUAGGUUCAGACUAGAGAAGAAACAGGGAACAAAGUGAUGAAAGAAUGAUCAUACCGAGGGAAUUCACUCAGAACUAACAAGAAUGAUAACGUGCUCCGACUGGAGCGGUUUAGGAACUGCUGGAAGGCUCUAGGGGAAUAAAGAUGGAAUGACUUCUAAUUUUUACGUCCGUAUGAUUUGAAAUACUUGCACACAAACCACGCAAAAGCGUUCCUGGAAAUCUCAGCCUAAAAAAGGACGUUUAGUAAUUCAAAAAGGGACUACAAAAUGAAAAACAAUAGUUUUGGCAGUUAAAGUUUGAGAUUCGAUGGUGCCGUAGAUCCGUUUGGUCAUCAGGUGUUACGAGCCACACCCAUGUCUAGCUAGGAUAGUGUGUUAGGCUCAGGCUAGAGAAGAAACGGGGAACAAACUGAUGAAAGAAUGAUCAUACCGAGGGAAUUCACUCAGAACUAACAAGGAUGAUAACAUGCUCCGACUAGAGCGGUUUAGGAACUGCUGGAAGGCUCUAGGGGAAUAAAGAUGGAAUGACUUCUAAUUUUUAGGUCCGUAUGAUUUGAAAUACUUGCACACAAACCGCAAGAAAGCGUUCCUGGAAAUCUCAGCCCAAAAAAGGACGUUUAGUAAUUCUAAAAGGGACUACAGGAUGAAAAACAAUAGUUCUGGCAGUUAAAGUUUGAGAUUCGAUAAUGCCGUAGAUCUGUUUGGUCAUCAGGUGUAACGAGCCACACCCAUGUCUAGCUAGAGUAGUGUGCUAGGCUCAGACUAGAGAAGAAACGGGGAACAAACUGAUGAAAGAAUGAUUAUACCGAGGGAAUUCACUCAGAACUAACGAGAAUGAUAACGUGCUCCGACUGGAGCGGUUUAGGAACUGCUGGAAGGCUCUAGGGGAAUAAAGAUGGAAUGACUUCAAAUUUUUAGGUCUGUAUGAUUUGAAAUACUUGCACACAAACCGCAAGAAAGCGUUCCUUGAAAUCUCAGCCCAAAAAAGGACGUUUAGUAAUUCUAAAAGGGACUACAGGAUGAAAAACAAUAGUUCUGGCAGUUAAAGUUUGAGAUUCGAUAAUGUCGUAGAUCCGUUUGGUCAUCAGGUGUAACGAGCCACACCCAUGUCUAGCUAGAGUAGUGUGCUAGGCUCAGAAUAGAGAAGAAACGGGGAACAAACUGAUGAAAGAAUGAUCAUACCGAGGGAAUUCACUCAGAACUAACAAGAAUGAUAACGUGCUCCGACUGGAGCGGUUUAGGAACUGCUGGAAGGCUCUAGGGGAAUAAAGAAGGAAUGACUUCUAAUUUUUAGGUCCGUAUGAUUUGAAAUACGUGCACACAAACCGCGCGAAAGCGUUCCUGGAAAUCUCAGCCAAAAAAAGGACGUUUAGUAUUCUAAAAGGGACUACAGAAUGAAAAACAAUAGUUUUGGCAGUUAAAGUUUGAGAUUCGACGGUGCUGUAGAUCCGUUUGGUCAUCAGGUGUUACGAGCCACACCCAUGUCUAGCUAGAAUAGUGUGCUAGGCUCAGGCUAGAGAAGAAAAGGGGAACAAACUAAUGAAAGAAUGAUCAAUCCGAGGGAAUUCACUCAGAACUAACAAUAAUGAUAACGUGCUCCGACUGGAGCGGUUUAGGAACUGCUGGAAGGCUCUAGGCGAAUAAAGAUGGAAUGACUUCUAAUUUUUACGUCCGUAUGAUUUGAAAUACUUGCACACAAACCACGCAAAAGCGUUCCUGGAAGUCUCGGCCUAAAAAGGACGUUUAGUAAUUCUAAAAGGGACUACAGGAUGAAAAAUAAUAGUUUGGGCAGUUAAAAUUUGAGAUUCGACGGUGCCGUAGAUCCAUUUGGUCAUCAAGUGUUACGAGCCACACCCAUGUCUAGCUAGAAUAGUGUGUUAGGCUCAGGCUAGAGAAGAAACGGGGAACAAACUGAUGAAAGAAUGAUCAUACCAAGGGAAUUCACUCAGAACUAACAAGAAUGAUAACGUGCUCCGACUGGAGCAGUUUAGAAACUGCUGGAAGGCUCUUGGGGAAUAAAGAUGGAAUGACUUCAAAUUUUUAGGUCCGUAUGAUUUGAAAUACUUGCACACAAACCACGCGAAAGCGUUCCUGGAAAUCUCAGCCCAAAAAAGGACGUUUAGUAAUUCUAAAAGGGACUACAUGAUGAAAAACAAUAGUUUUGGCAGUUAAAGUUUGAGAAUCGUCGGUGCCGUAGAUCCGUUUGGUCAUCAGCUGUAACGAGCCACACCCAUGUCUAGCUAGAGUAGUGUGCUAGGCUCAGACUAGAGAAGAAACAGGGAACAAAGUGAUGAAAGAAUGAUCAUACCGAGGGAAUUCACUUAGAACUAACAAGAAUGAUAACAUGCUCCGACUUGAGCGAUUUAGGAACUUCUGGAAGGCUCUAGGGGAAUAAAGAUGGAAUGACUCAAAUUUUUAGGCCCGUAUGAUUUGAAAUACAUGCACACAAACCGCGAGAAAGUGUUCCUGGAAAUCUUAGCCCAAAAAAGGACGUUUAGUAAUUCUAAAAGGGACUACAGGAUGAAAAACAAUAGUUUUGGUAGUUAAAGUUUCAGAUUCGAUAAUGCCCUAGAUCCGUUUGGUCAUCAGGUGUAACGAGCCACACCAAUGUCUAGCUAGAGUAGUGUGCUAGGCUCAGACUAGAUAAGAAACGGGGAAGAAACUGAUGAAAGAAUGAUCAGACCGAGGGAAUUCACUCAGAACUAACAAUAAUGAUAACGUGCUCCGAGUGGAGCGGUUUAGGAACUGCUGGAAGGCUCUAGGGGAAUAAAGAUGGAAUGACUUCUAAUUUUUAGGUCCGUAUGAUUUGAAAUACGUGCACACAAACCCCGAGAAACCGUUCCUUGAAAUCUCGGCCCAAAAAAGGACGUUUAGUAAUUCUAAAAGGGACUACAAAAUGAAAAACAAUAGUUUUGGCAGUUAAAGUUUGAGAUUCGACGGUGUCGUAGACCCGUUUGGUCUUCAGGUGUUACGAGCCACACCCAUGUCUAGCCAGAGUAGUGUGCUAGGUUCAGACUAGAGAAGAAACGGGGAACAAAGUGAUGAAAGAAUGAUCAUACCGAGGGAAUUCACUCAGAACUAACAAGAAUGAUAACGUGCUCCGACUGGAGCGGGUUAGGAACUCCUGGAAGGCUCUAGGGGAAUAAAGAUGGAAUGACUUCUAAUUUUUACGUCCGUAUGAUUUGAAAUACUUGCACACAAACCACGCAAAAGCGUUCCUGGAAAUCUCAGCCUAAAAAAGGACGUUUAGUAAUUCUAAAAGGGACUACAGGAUGAAAAAUAAUAGUUUGGUCAUCAGGUGUUACGAGCCACACCCAUGUCUAGCUAGAAUAGUGUGCUAGGCUCAGGCUAGAGAAGAAACGGGGAAUAAACUGAUGAAAGAAUGAUCAAACCGAGGGAAUUCACUCAGAACUAACAAUAAUGAUAACGUUCUCCGUCUGGAGCGGUUUAGGAACUGCUGGAAGGCUCUAGGGGAAUAAAGAUGGAAUGACUUCUAAUUUUUAGGUCCGUAUGAUACGAAAUACUUGCACACAAACCGCGCGAAAUCGUUCCUGGAAAUCUCAGCCCAAAAAAGGACGUUUAGUAAUUCUAAAAGGGACUACAGCAUGAAAAACAAUAGUUCUGGCAGUUAAAGUUUGAGAUUCGAUAAUGCCGUAGAUCCGUUUGGUCAUCAGGUGUAACGAGCCACACCCAUGUCUAGCUAGAGUAGUAUGCUAGGCUCAGACUAGAGAAGAAACGGGGAACAAACUGAUGAAAGAAUGAUUAUACCGAGGGAAUUCACUCAGAACUAACAAGAAUGAUAACGUGCUCCGGCUGGAGCGGUUUAGGAACUGCUAGAAGGCUCUAGGGGAAUAAAGAUGGAAUGACUUCAAAUUUUUAGGUCUGUAUGAUUUGAAAUACUUGCACACAAACCGCAAGAAAGCGUUCCUGGAAAUCUCAGCCCAAAAAAGGACGUUUAGUAAUUCUAAAAGGGACUAUAGGAUGAAAAACAAUAGUUCUGGUAGUUAAAGUUUGAGAUUCGAUAAUGUCAUAGAUCCGUUCGGUCAUCAGGUGUAACGAGCCACACCCAUGUCUAGCUAGAGUAGUGUGCUAGGCUCAGACUAGAGAAGAAACGGGGAACAAACUGAUGAAAGAAUGAUCAUACCGAGGGAAUUCACUCAGAACUAACAAGAAUGAUAACGUGCUCCGACUGGAGCGGUUUAGGAACUGCUGGAAGGCUCUAGGGGAAGAAAGAAGGAAUGACUUCUAAUUUUUAGGUCCGUAUGAUUUGAAAUACGUGCACACAAACCGCGCGAAAGCGUUCCUGGAAAUCUCAGCCCAAAAAAGGACGUUUAGUAUUCUAAAAGGGACUACAGAAUGAAAAACAAUAGUUUUGGCAGUUAAAGUUUGAGAUUCGACGGUGCCGUAGAUCCGUUUGGUCAUCAGGUGUUACGAGCCACACCCAUGUCUAGCUAGAAUAGUGUGCUAGGCUCAGGCUAGAGAAGAAAAGGGGAACAAACUGAUGAAAGAAUGAUCAAACCGAGGGAAUUCACUCAGAACUAACAAUAAUGAUAACGUGCUCCGACUGGAGCGGUUUAGGAACUGCUGGAAGGCUCUUGGCGAAUAAAGAUGGAAUGACUUCUAAUUUUUACGUCCGUAUGAUUUGAAAUACUUCCACACAAACCAGGCAAAGGCGUUCCUGGAAAUCUCGGCCUAAAAAGGACGUUUAGUAAUUCUAAAAGGGACUACAGGAUGAAAAAUAAUAGUUUGGGCAGUUAAAAUUUUAGAUUCGACGGUGCCGUAGAUCCGUUUGGUCAUCAGGUGUUACGAGCCACACCCAUGUCUAGCUAGAAUAGUGUGUUAGGCUCAGGCUAGAGAAGAAACGGGGAACAAACUGAUGAAAGAAUGAUCAUACCAAGGGAAUUCACUCAGAACUAACAAGAAUGAUAACGUGCUCCGACUGGAGCAGUUUAGAAACUACUGGAAGGCUCUAGGGGAAUAAAGAUGGAAUGACUUCAAAUUUUUAGGUCCGUAUGAUUUGAAAUACUUGCACACAAACCGCGCGAAAGCGUUCCUGGAAAUCUCAGCCCAAAAAAGGACGUUUAGUAAUUCUAAAAGGGACUACAUGAUGAAAAACAAUAGUUUUGGCAGUUAAAGUUUGAGAUUCGUCGGUGCCGUAGAUCCGUUUGGUCAUCAGCUGUAACGAGCCACACCCAUUUCUAGCUAGAGUAGUGUGCUAGGCUCAGACUAAAGAAGAAAUGGGGAACAAAGUGAUGAAAGAAUGCUCAUACCGAGGGAAUUCACUCAGAACUAACAAGAAUGAUAACAUGCUCCGACUUGAGCGAUUUAGGAACUUCUGGAAGGCUCUAGGGGAAUAAAGAUGGAAUGACUCAAAUUUUUAGGUCCGUAUGAUUUGAAAUACUUGCACACAAACCGCGAGAAAGCGUUCCUGGAAAUCUCAGCCCAAAAAAGGACGUUUAGUAAUUCUAAAAGGGACUACAUGAUGAAAAACAAUAGUUUUGGCAGUUAAAGUUUGAGAUUUGAUAAUGCCGUAGAUCCGUUUGGUCAUCAGGUGUAACGAGCCACACCCAUGUCUAGCUAGAGUAGUGUGCUAGGCUAAGACUAGAUAAGAAAAGGGGAAGAAACUUAUGAAAGAAUGAUCAGACCGAGGGAAUUCACUCAGAACUAACAAUAAUGAUAACGUGCUCCGACUGGAGCGGUUUAGGAACUGCUGGAAGGCUCUAGGGGAAUAAAGAUGGAAUGACUUCUAAUUUUUAGGUCCGUAUGAUUUGAAAUACGUGCACACAAACCCCGAGAAACCGUUCCUGGAAAUCUCGGCCCAAAAAAGGAUGUUUAGUAAUUCUAAAAGGGACUACAAAAUGAAAAACAAUAGUUUUGGCAGUUAAAGUUUGAGAUUUGAUGGUGCCGUAGAUCUGUUUGGUCAUCAGGUGUUACGAGCCACACCCAUGUCUAGCUAGAAUAGUGUGUUAGGCUCAGGCUAGAAAAGAAACGGGAAACAAAGUGAUGAAAGAAUGAUCAUACCGAGGGAAUUCACUCAGAACUAACAAGAAUGAUAACAUGCUCUGACUGGAGCGGUUUAGGAACUGCUGGAAGGCUCUAGGGGAAUAAAGAUGGAAUGACUUCUAAUGUUUAGGUCCGUAUGAUUUGAAAUACUUGCACAUAAACCGCGCAAAAGCGUUCCUGGAAAUCUCAGCCCAAAAAAGGACGUUUAGUAAUUCUAAAAGGGACUACAGGAUGAAAAACAAUAGUUUUGGCAGUUAAAGUUUGAGAUUCGACGGUGCCGUAGAUCCGUUUGUUCAUCAGGUGUUACGAGCCACACCCAUGUCUAGCUAGAAUAGUGUGUUAGGCUCAGGCUAGAGAAGAAACGGGGAACAAACUGAUGAAAGAAUGAUCAAACCGAGGGAAUUCACUCAGAACUAACAAUAAUGAUAACGUGCUCCGACUAGAGCGGUUUAGGAACUGCUGGAAGGCUCUAGGGGAAUAAAGAUGGAAUGACUUCUAAUUUUUAGGUCUGUAUGAUUUGAAAUACUUGCACGCAAACCGCGCGAAAGCGUUCCCGGAAAUAUCAGCCUAAAGAAGGACGUUUAGUAAUUCUAAAAGGGACUACAGGAUGAAAAACAAUAGUUUUGGCAGUUAAAGUUUGAGAUUCAACGGUGCCGUAGAUCCGUUUGGUCAUCAGGUGUUACGAGCCACACCCAUGUCUAGCUAGAGUAGUGUGCUAGGCUCAGGCUAGAGAAGAAACAGGGAACAAACUGAUGAAAGAAUGAUCAUACCGAGGGAAUUCACUCAGAACUGAUGAAAGAAUGAUCAAACCAAGGAAAUUCACUCAGAACUAACAAUAAUGAUAACAUGCUCCGACUGGAGCGGUUUAGGAACUGCUGGAAGGCUCUAGGGGAAUAAAGAUGGAAUGACUUCUAAUUUUUAGGUCCGUAUGAUUUGAAAUACGUGCACACAAACCCCGAGAAACCGUUCCUGGAAAUCUCGGCCCAAAAAAGGACGUUUAGUAAUUCUAAAAGGGACAACAAAAUGAAAAACAAUAGUUUUGGCAGUUAAAGUUUGAGAUUCGACGGUGCCGUAGACCCGUUUGGUCAUCAGGUGUUACGAGCCACACCCAUGUCUAGCUAGAGUAGUGUGCUAGGUUCAGACUAGAGAAGAAACGGGGAACAAAGUGAUGAAAGAAUGAUCAUACCGAGGGAAUUCACUCAGAACUAACAAGAAUGAUAACGUGCUCCGACUGGAGCGGGUUAGGAAUUGCUGGAAGGCUCUAGGGGAAUAAAGAUAGAAUGACUUCUAAUUUUUACGUCCGUAUGAUUUGAAAUACUUGCACACAAACCACGCAAAAGCGUUCCUAGAAAUCUCAGCCUAAAAAAGGACGUUUAGUAAUUCUAAAAGGGACUACAGGAUGAAAAAUAAUAGUUUGGCCAGUUAAAAUUUAAGAUUCGACGGUGCCGUAGAUCCGCUUGGUCAUCAGGUGUUACGAGCCACACCCAUGUCUAGCUAGAAUAGUGUGUUAGGCUCAGGCUAGAGAAGAAACGGGGAACAAACUGAUGAAAGAAUGAUCAUACCGAGGGAAUUCACUCAGAACUAACAAGAAUGAUAACAUGCUCCGACUGGAGCGGUUUAGGAACUGCUGGAAGGCUCUAGGGGAAUAAAGAUGGAAUGACUUCUAAUUUUUAGGUCCGUAUGAUUUGAAAUACUUGCACACAAACCGCAAGAAAGCGUUCCUGGAAAUCUCAGCACAAAAAAGGACGUUUAGUAAUUCUAAAAGGGACUACAGCAUGAAAAACAAUAGUUCUGGCAGUUAAAGUUUGAGAUUCGAUAAUGCCGUAGAUCCGUUUGGUCAUCAGGUGUAACGAGCCACACCCAUGUCUAGCUAGAGUAGUGUGCUAGGCUCAGACUAGAGAAGAAACGGGGAACAAAAUGAUGAAAGAAUGAUUAUACCGAGGGAAUUCACUCAGAACUAACAAGAAUGAUAACGUGCUCCGACUGGAGCGGUUUAGGAACUGCUGGAAGGCUCUAGGGGAAUAAAGAUGGAAUGACUUCAAAUUUUUAGGUCUGUAUGAUUUGAAAUACUUGCACACAAACCGCAAGAAAGCGUUCCUGGAAAUCUCAGCCCAAAAAUGGACGUUUAGUAAUUCUAAAAGGGACUAUAGGAUGAAAAACAAUAGUUCUGGCAGUUAAAGUUUGAGAUUCGAUAAUGUCGUAGAUCCGUUCGGUCAUCAGGUGUAACGAGCCACACCCAUGUCUAGCUAGAGUAGUGUGCUAGGCUCAGACUAGAGAAGAAACGGGGAACAAACUGAUGAAAGAAUGAUCAUACCGAGGGAAUUCACUCAGAACUAACAAGAAUGAUAACGUGCUCCGACUGGAGCGGUUUAGGAACUGCUGGAAGGCUCUAGGGGAAGAAAGAAGGAAUGACUUCUAAUUUUUAGGUCCGUAUGAUUUGAAAUACGUGCACACAAACCGCGCGAAAGCGUUCCUGGAAAUCUCAGCCCAAAAAAGGACGUUUAGUAUUCUAAAAGGGACUACAGAAUGAAAAACAAUAGUUUUGGCAGUUAAAGUUUGAGAUUCGACGGUGCCGUAGAUCCGUUUGGUCAUCAGGUGUUACGAGCCACACCCAUGUCUAGCUAGAAUAGUGUGCCAGGCUCAGGCUAGAGAAGAAAAGGGGAACAAACUGAUGAAAGAAUGAUCAAACCGAGGGAUUUCACUCAGAACUAACAAUAAUGAUAACGUGCUCCGACUGGAGCGGUUUAGGAACUGCUGGAAGGCUCUAGGCGAAUAAAGAUGGAAUGACUUCUAAUUUUUACGUCCGUAUGAUUUUAAAUACUUGCACACAAACCACGCAAAAGCGUUCCUGGAAAUCUCGGCCUAAAAAGGACGUUUAGUAAUUCUAAAAGGGACUACAGGAUGAAAAAUAAUAGUUUGGGCAGUUAAAAUUUGAGAUUCGACGGUGCCGUAGAUCCGUUUGGUCAUCAGGUGUUACGAGCCACACCCAUGUCUAGCUAGAAUAGUGUGUUAGGCUCAGGCUAGAGAAGAAACAGGGAACAAACUGAUGAAAGAAUGAUCAUACCAAGGGAAUUCACUCAGAACUAACAAGAAUGAUAACGUGCUCCGACUGGAGCAGUUUAGAAACUGCUGGAAGGCUCUAGGGGAAUAAAGAUGGGAUGACUUCAAAUUUUUAGGUCCGUAUGAUUUGAAAUACUUGCACACAAACCGCGCGAAAGCGUUCCUGGAAAUCGCAGCCCAAAAAAGGACGUUUAGUAAUUCUAAAAGGGACUACAUGAUGAAAAACAAUAGUUUUGGCAGUUAAAGUUUGAGAUUCGUCGGUGCCGUAGAUCCGUUUGGUCAUCAGCUGUAACGAGCCACACCCAUGUCUAGCUAGAGUAGUGUGCUAGGCUCAGACUAGAGAAGAAAUGGGGAAAAAAGUGAUGAAAGAAUGAUCAUACCGAGGGAAUUCACUCAGAACUAACAAGAAUGAUAACAUGCUCCGACAUGAGCGAUUUAGGAACUUCUGGAAGGCUCUAGGGGAAUAAAGAUGGAAUGACUCAAAUUUUUAGGUCCGUAUGAUUUGAAAUACUUGCACACAAACCGCGAGAAAGCGUUCCUGGAAAUCUCAGCCCAAAAAAGGACAUUUAGUAAUUCUAAAAGGGACUACAGGAUGAAAAACAAUAGUUUUGGCAGUUAAAGUUUGAGAUUUGAUAAUGCCGUAGAUCCGUUUGGUCAUCAGGUGUAACGAGCCACACCCAUGUCUAGCUAGAGUAGUGUGCUAGGCUAAGACUAGAUAAGAAACCGGGAAGAAACUAAUGAAAGAAUGAUCAGACCGAGGGAAUUCACUCAGAACUAACAAUAAUGAUAACGUGCUCCGACUGGAGCGGUUUAGGAACUGCUGGAAGGCUCUAGGGGAAUAAAGAUGAAAUGACUUCUAAUUUUUAGGUUCGUAUGAUUUGAAAUACAUGCACACAAACCCCGAGAAACCGUUCCUGGAAAUCUCGGCCCAAAAAAGGAUGUUUAGUAAUUCUAAAAGGGACUACAAAAUGAAAAACAAUAGUUUUGGUAGUUAAAGUUUGAGAUUUGAUGGUGCCAUAGAUCUGUUUGGUCAUCAGGUGUUACGAGCCACACCCAUGUCUAGCUAGAAUAGUGUGUUAGGCUCAGGCUAGAAAAGAAACGGGAAACAAAGUGAUGAAAGAAUGAUCAUACCGAGGGAAUUCACUCAGAACUAACAAGAAUGAUAACAUGCUCUGACUGGAGCGGUUUAGGAACUGCUGGAAGGCUCUAGGGGAAUAAAGAUGGAAUGACUUCUAAUGUUUAGGUCCGAGGUCCGUAUGAUUUGAAAUACUUGCACAUAAACCGUGCAAAAGCGUUCCUGGAAAUCUCAGCCCAAAAAAGGACGUUUAGUAAUUCUAAAAGGGACUACAGGAUGAAAAACAAUAGUUUUGGCAGUUAAAGUUUGAGAUUCGACGGUGCCGUAGAUCCGUUCGUUCAUCAGGUGUUACGAGCCACACCCAUGUCUAGCUAGAAUAGUGUGUUAGGCUCAGGCUAGAGAAGAAACGGGGAACAAACUGAUGAAAGAAUGAUCAAACCGAGGGAAUUCACUCAGAACUAACAAUAAUGAUAACGUGCUCCGACUAGAGCGGUUUAGGAACUGCUGGAAGGCUCUAGGGGAAUAAAGAUGGAAUGACUUCUAAUUUUUAGGUCUGUAUGAUUUGAAAUACUUGCACGCAAACCGCGCGAAAGCGUUCCCGGAAAUAUCAGCCCAAAAAAGGACGUUUAGUAAUUCUAAAAGGGACUACAGGAUGAAAAACAAUAGUUUUGGCAGUUAAAGUUUGAGAUUCAACGGUGCCGUAGAUCCGUUUGGUCAUCAGGUGUUACGAGCCACACCCAUGUCUAGCUAGAGUAGUGUGCUAGGCUCAGGCUAGAGAAGAAACAGGGAACAAACUGAUGAAAGAAUGAUCAUACCGAGGGAAUUCACUCAGAACUGAUGAAAGAAUGAUCAAACCGAGGAAAUUCACUCAGAACUAACAAUAAUGAUAACAUGCUCCGACUGGAGCGGUUUAGGAACUGCUGGAAGGCUCUAGGGGAAUAAAGAUGGAAUGACUUCUAAUUUUUAGGUCCGUAUGAUUUGAAAUACGGGCACACAAACCCCGAGAAACCGUUCCUGGAAAUCUCGGCCCGAAAAAGGACGUUUAGUAAUUCUAAAAGGGACUACAAAAUGAAAAACAAUAGUUUUGGCAGUUAAAGUUUGAGAUUCGACGGUGCCGUAGACCCGUUCGGUCAUCAGGUGUAACGAGCCACACCCAUGUCUAGCUAGAGUAGUGUGCUAGGCUCAGACUAGAGAAGAAACGGGGAACAAACUGAUGAAAGAAUGAUCAUACCGAGGGAAUUCACUCAGAACUAACAAGAAUGAUAACGUGCUCCGACUGGAGCGGUUUAGGAACUGCUAGAAGGCUCUAGGGGAAGAAAGAAGGAAUGACUUCUAAUUUUUAGGUCUGUAUGAUUUGAAAUACGUGCACACAAACCGCGCGAAAGCGUUCCUGGAAAUCUCAGCCCAAAAAAGGACGUUUAGUAUUCUAAAAGGGACUACAGAAUGAAAAACAAUAGUUUUAGCAGUUAAAGUUUGAGAUUCGACGGUGCCGUAGAUCCGUCUGGUCAUCAGGUGUUACGAGCCACACCCAUGUCUAGCUAGAAUAGUGUGCUAGGCUCAGGCUAGAGAAGAAAAGGGGAACAAACUGAUGAAAGAAUGAUCAAACCGAGGGAAUUCACUCAGAACUAACAAUAAUGAUAACGUGCUCCGACUGGAGCGGUUUAGGAACUGCUGGAAGGCUCUAGGCGAAUAAAGAUGGAAUGACUUCUAAUUUUUACGUCCGUAUGAUUUGAAAUACUUGCACACAAACCACGCAAAAGCGUUCCUGGAAAUCUCGGCCUAAAAAGGACGUUUAGUAAUUCUAAAAGGGACUACAGGAUGAAAAAUAAUAGUUUGGGCAGUUAAAAUUUGAGAUUCGACGGUGCCGUAGAUCCGUUUGGUCAUCAGGUGUUACGAGCCACACCCAUCUCUAGCUAGAAUAGUGUGUUAGGCUCAGGCUAGAGAAGAAACGGGGAACAAACUGAUGAAAGAAUGAUCAUACCAAGGGAAUUCACUCAGAACUAACAAGAAUGAUAACGUGCUCCGACUGGAGCAGUUUAGAAACUCCUGGAAGGCUCUAGGGGAGUAAAGAUGGAAUGACUUCAAAUUUUUAGGUCCGUAUGAUUUGAAAUACUUGCACACAAACCGCGCGAAAGCGUUCCUGGAAAUCUCAGCCCAAAAAAGGACGUUUAGUAAUUCUAAAAGGGACUACAUGAUGAAAAACAAUAGUUUUGGCAGUUAAAGUUUGAGAUUCGUCGGUGCCGUAGAUCCGUUUGGUCAUCAGCUGUAACGAGCCACACCCAUGUCUAGCUAGAGUAGUGUGCUAGGCUCAGACUAGAGAAGAAAUGGGGAACAAAGUGAUGAAAGAAUGAUCAUACCGAGGGAAUUCACUCAGAACUAACAAGAAUGAUAACAUGCUCCGACUUGAGCGAUUUAGGAACUUCUGGAAGGCUCUAGGGGAAUAAAGAUGGAAUGACUCAAAUUUUUAGGUCCGUAUGAUUUGAAAUACUUGCACACAAACCGCGAGAAAGCGUUCCUGGAAAUCUCAGCCCAAAAAAGGACGUUUAGUAAUUCUAAAAGGGACUACAGGAUGAAAAACAAUAGUUUUGGCAGUUAAAGUUUGAGAUUCGAUAAUGUCGUAGAUCCGUUUGGUCAUCAGGUGUAACGAGCCACACCCAUGCCUAGCUAGAGUAGUGUGCUAGGCUAAGACUAGAUAAGAAACGGGGAAGAAACUGAUGAAAGAAUGAUCAGACCGAGGGAAUUCACUCAGAACUAACAAUAAUGAUAACGUGCUCCGACUGGAGCGGUUUAGGAACUGCUAGAAGGCUCUAGGGGAAUAAAGAUGGAAUGACUUCUAAUUUUUAGGUCCGUAUGAUUUGAAAUACGUGCACACAAACCCCGAGAAACCGUUCCUGGAAAUCUCGGCCCAAAAAAGUAUGUUUAGUAAUUCUAAAAGGGACUACAAAAUGAAAAACAAUAGUUUUGGCAGUUAAAGUUUGAGAUUUGAUGGUGCCGUAGAUCUGUUAGGUCAUCAGGUGUUACGAGCCACACCCAUGUCUAGCUAGAAUAGUGUGUUAGGCUCAGGCUAGAAAAGAAACGGGAAACAAAGUGAUGAAAGAAUGAUCAUACCGAGGGAAUUCACUCAGAACUAACAAGAAUGAUAACAUGCUCUGACUGGAGCGGUUUAGGAACUGCUGGAAGGCUCUAGGGGAAUAAAGAUGGAAUGACUUCUAAUGUUUAGGUCCGUAUGAUUUGAAAUACUUGCACAUAAACCGCGCAAAAGCGUUCCUGGAAAUCUCAGCCCAAAAAGGACGUUUAGUAAUUCUAGAAGGGACUACAGGAUGAAAAACAAUAGUUUUGGCAGUUAAAGUUUGAGAUUCGACGGUGCCGUAGAUCCGUUUGUUCAUCAGGUGUUACGAGCCACACCCAUGUCUAGCUAGAAUAGUGUGUUAGGCUCAGGCUAGAGAAGAAACGGGGAACAAACUGAUGAAAGAAUGAUCAAACCGAGGGAAUUCACUCAGAACUAACAAUAAUGAUAACGUGCUCCGACUAGAGCGGUUUAGGAACUGCUGGAAGGCUCUAGGGGAAUAAAGAUGGAAUGACUUCUAAUUUUUAGGUCUGUAUGAUUUGAAAUACUUGCACGCAAACCGCGCGAAAGCAUUCCCGGAAAUAUCAGCCCAAAAAAGGACGUUUAGUAAUUCUAAAAGGGACUACAGGAUGAAAAAGAAUAGUUUUGGCAGUUAAAGUUUGAGAUUCAACGGUGCCGUAGAUCCGUUUGGUCAUCAGGUGUUACAAGCCACACCCAUGUCUAGCUAGAGUAGUGUGCUAGGCUCAGGCUAGAGAAG